UCGCAACUAUUUCUUCAACUCUUGCUUAAUUUGCUCUAGGAGUACUAUUCAUAUAUUUGAUUAAACUCUCAAUUUAGAUUCAUUUAACGAUACACGCUAUUCAAGGGAAGUAAGAUUUUUGUUCAGAUUGUCCAUGUGAUUAAUGACUGGAAAAUAUGUUAAAAUAUCUGUUUAAGCAAUCAAAUUUUUGAUAUUUAGAGUCGAGUGACUAUUUACGCUCCCAAGACUCCAGCGGUCAACGGUUGAGGCGUCACUACAUUUUUUCCUGUACAAUUUUGUUAUAGUUAAGUGGAAUGUGCGUCUUUCCUCGGAAAAGUAAUUUUGAUAAGGAAAUUGAACGGAAAGAAGGAACCAGACUAAAAAUGGAGCAUACCAUAUUAUUUAAAGGACCAAUGAUCCAUUCCGUUGAACGGGACCAUGUGACUGUAAUGGAAAGAGGUGCCAUUAUUGUCCAAAAAGGCAAGAUACUGGCAGUCGAGAAUAUUCACACGGAGUCUGAGAUGAUGGAAAUAGAAGCGAAGUACAGCCCAAAUGAAGUUGUGGUUUUGGAAAAAGGUCAAUUUUUAAUCCCAGGCUUGAUUGACACACACACCCAUGCACCACAGUUUCCGAACAAGGGGCUUGGCUAUGAUAAGACCUUAUUGGAAUGGUUGAAUGUUUACACCUUCCCUCUGGAGAGCAAGUAUGAGGAUGAAAACAUCGCUCUCAAGGUGUAUACGGAAGUUGUGAUAUCUACUCUGGCAUGUGGGACGACAAGUGCCGUGUACUUUGCCACAACACACUACAACUCUAGCUUUAAGCUUGCAGAGAUUGCUUUUAGUAAGCAACAAAGGGCAUGGAUUGGCAGAGUCAACAUGGACAGCAACUGUCCCCCAAAUCUAAUUGAGGAUACAGAGGUGUCAGUGAUAGACACAAUGUCGUUUAUCGACGCUGUUCAGGCUUUAAAUAGUGACCUUGUGAAGCCUAUUAUAACUCCACGAUUUGCUAUCACAAGUUCUGCAUCACUCCUCAAUCAGCUGGGAUUCAUAGCAGAACAAUACAAUCUGCACAUCCAGACUCAUCUCUGUGAGACAAAGGAAGAGAUUGAAGAAGUGGCGCAGAUGUUUCCGAAUUCCCCAACCUACACCUCUGUGUAUAAGGAAGCCAAAUUAUUGACUAGAAAGGACAAUUUUUCAACUAGGACUGAGAAAGUUUUCUUUAAGUAUGGAACAGUACUCUCUUUUACACUUCGACACAUUUGUCCACAACAUGUUUUCUUGUUUUCUUACUUUGACCACUUCACUCCAAGUCCCUUGAAUGCCACCUCCCCUCCAGAAUUUUUGGAAAUGCUGUUGGCUGUUACUGCCCAUACCCACUGGUAUCUUCCAUUGGCCAUUUACUUGUUUACAGACUAUACUGGCUCAUUGCGUCCACCUACAGGACAGUGAAAUGGAAAUGAUCAAGGAUGCAAGAUGCAGCAUUGCACAUUGUCCCUCCUCUAAUAUCAAUCUGCGCAGUGGAGUAUGCAAUGUUAGAAGACUUUUGGAUAAGGGUAUCAACGUAUGUCUAGGCACAGAUGUAGCGGGAGGAAACAGUUCAUCUAUCCUGGACGAAAUGCGAGCAGCCUUGAAUACCUCCAUUACUUUGUCAUUUCAGCAUGAAGACUACAUACCUCUCUCAUACCAUGAGGUCUUCUAUAUGGCAACUAUGG
RNAcentral lists this unclassified non-coding RNA (1690 nucleotides) under Homalodisca vitripennis (glassy-winged sharpshooter). RNAcentral's name for it is "guanine deaminase, transcript variant X3". The record is from RNAcentral. Lineage: Eukaryota; Metazoa; Arthropoda; Insecta; Hemiptera; Cicadellidae.